UACGUAGGGGGCUAGCGUUGCUCGGAAUCACUGGGCGUAAAGCGCACGUAGGCGGCCUCUUAAGUCGGUGGUGAAAUCCUGGAGCUCAACUCCAGAACUGCCUUCGAUACUGCGAGGCUUGAGUCCGGGAGAGGUGAGUGGAACUGCGAGUGUAGAGGUGAAAUUCGUAGAUAUUCGCAAGAACACCGGUGGCGAAGGCGGUGGUCUGGGCCGGCACUGACGCUGAGGAGCGAAAGCGUGGGUAGCAAACAGG
This 253-nucleotide ribosomal RNA is filed under the name uncultured bacterium. Its description in RNAcentral is "partial 16S ribosomal RNA". It matches the Rfam family "Bacterial small subunit ribosomal RNA", at positions 524 to 776 of the family's 1533-position model. The record is from RNAcentral.